GAGUCAUCAUGUGGGUAGUGAGGCCACCUAUACUGUAGGAACUCUAAUAGCCCCUCUGCUCCUUCAAAAGGCAAGUCCAGCUUAGAUGUUUUGCUAGCUGUGACAUUGCUCUUGAUGACUGUUGUGAACAGCCCCCACGGCGAAAAGUUCCUGAGAGGAUCUUCAUUUUGGAGCCCUGAGCCCAGGACUGUGCACAAGAGAUAAGGAUAAUGAGCUCUGACAUUCAGCAAUGAGUGAGGAUGACAUGGAAGAUCAUGGGGUUCUCUCCAAGGGUGGAAAUGCCAGCAGAGUGGGAAGAGGGUGAAGAGGUAACACAGCCUGCGAAGCCCAGGCUUUCCUCAUCAUGAUGAGGGAGCUGUGGGCUCCCUUGGUACUGAAGCUAUCACAAGUCUGCAGAUCCCAUGCACCAUCUACAACUUGGCCUCCUGACCUCAAGUACUGUUUCAUAAUGGGAUGCAGCACCGGUUCUUCUAAUAAAGAUGGACUUUCCUUGGCUCUUUCUGCUACUCUGAGAGUGUCAUGAUAGUUGGCCUUGUCCCAUAGUUGGGAUGUGGUAGAUGUAGGAGUAAAAGGUACCACUCUACGUUCUUUGCCACUGGAUGAAAACAUGGAAGAGGGAUACUCCUGAUGGUAUGAUAGUGUUUAAUCUGCUAUUUGCUUGAUAGUCUUUGCAUUUUUAAAAAUAUUUCCCCUUAUCACCAUUCCUGCCUUACAUGUAGAAUCCCUUAAUGUCACGCAUGGGCUGUGUUAACGCACUCCACUAUCCACAAUCUGACUUUCAAAAGCUAAAUUAUUAGUGUAAAUU
Molecule: long non-coding RNA, 805 nt
Organism: Ictidomys tridecemlineatus (thirteen-lined ground squirrel)
Lineage: Eukaryota; Metazoa; Chordata; Mammalia; Rodentia; Sciuridae
Source: Ensembl